This 253-nucleotide non-coding RNA is filed under the name uncultured bacterium. Its description in RNAcentral is "partial 16S ribosomal RNA". It matches the Rfam family "Bacterial small subunit ribosomal RNA", at positions 524 to 776 of the family's 1533-position model. The record is from RNAcentral. RNAcentral also lists the same sequence under 2 other names.
GACAGAGGGUGCAAACGUUGUUCGGAAUUACUGGGCGUAAAGCGCGUGUAGGCUGCUCGGAAAGUCGGAUGUGAAAGCCCUGGGCUCAACCUAGGAAGUGCAUUCGAAACUUCCGAGCUGGAGUGCUGGAGAGGAAGGCGGAAUUCUCGGUGUAGAGGUGAAAUUCGUAGAUAUCGAGAGGAACACCGGUGGCGAAGGCGGCCUUCUGGACAGCCACUGACGCUGAGACGCGAAAGCGUGGGGAGCAAACAGG